RNAcentral lists this long non-coding RNA (413 nucleotides) under Mytilus galloprovincialis (Mediterranean mussel). The record is from RNAcentral. Lineage: Eukaryota; Metazoa; Mollusca; Bivalvia; Mytilida; Mytilidae.
CUUUUUUUAAUCCAUCAAUAGUUUAUAUACAAAGGUUCAUGGUAACAAGUAAUUUUAUAUAUACUGUUUAGGCUAUGCAACGUGUUGAGGUAAAAAUAUCAUACCACUCGAUGAAAACCAAGUAUCGUCAUAAAAAAAAUGCAAUUGUUGCCUAUGAGGAGAAAUCAUGGAAAAUCACUGAAAUAUAAACUCUUGAUUGCUGCUAUUAUGUAUCAAUGCCUCAAAUCUAUAAACAAGGUCCCAACAGAAAUCUGAUGAAACAUAGAUUUCUAUUAUAGGAAUAUGUAAACCUGUCUUAUGUAUACAUAUAUAUGCAAAUGAGUUCUGUGGCUAGGCUGACAUCCCGUCAGAACUAAUCCUAUUCAUCCUAUGCUUAGGACAAUAUCAAUUGGCUAUCUACCUGAGAAACUUGC